RNAcentral lists this ribosomal RNA (492 nucleotides) under uncultured bacterium. Its description in RNAcentral is "partial 16S ribosomal RNA". It matches the Rfam family "Bacterial small subunit ribosomal RNA", at positions 29 to 507 of the family's 1533-position model. The record is from RNAcentral.
AGUGAACGCUGGCGGUAGGCCUAACACAUGCAAGUCGAACGGCAGCACAGUAAGAGCUUGCUCUUACGGGUGGCGAGUGGCGGACGGGUGAGGAAUACAUCGGAAUCUACUUUUUCGUGGGGGAUAACGUAGGGAAACUUACGCUAAUACCGCAUACGACCUACGGUUGAAAGCAGGGGAUCUUCGGACCUUGCGCGAUUGAAUGAGCCGAUGUCGGAUUAGCUAGUUGGCGGGGUAAAGGCCCACCAAGGCGACGAUCCGUAGCUGGUCUGAGAGGAUGAUCAGCCACACUGGAACUGAGACACGGUCCAGACUCCUACGGGAGGCAGCAGUGGGGAAUAUUGGACAAUGGGCGCAAGCCUGAUCCAGCCAUACCGCGUGGGCGAAGAAGGCCUUCGGGUUGUAAAGCCCUUUUGUUGGGAAAGAAAAGCAGCAGGUUAAUACCCCGCUGUUCUGACGGUACCCAAAGAAUAAGCACCGGCUAACUUCGUG